AUACGGAGGAUGCGAGCGUUAUCCGGAUUUAUUGGGUUUAAAGGGUGCGUAGGUGGAGAGAUAAGUCAGUGGUGAAAGUUUGCGGCUCAACCGUAAAAUUGCAGUUGAUACUGUUAUUCUUGAGUGUACAUAAGGUAGGCGGAAUUCGUGGUGUAGCGGUGAAAUGCUUAGAUAUCACGAAGAACUCCAAUUGCGAAGGCAGCUUACCGGGGUACAACUGACGCUGAGGCACGAAAGUGUGGGUAUC
RNAcentral lists this ribosomal RNA (247 nucleotides) under uncultured bacterium. RNAcentral's name for it is "partial 16S ribosomal RNA". It matches the Rfam family "Bacterial small subunit ribosomal RNA", at positions 523 to 769 of the family's 1533-position model. The record is from RNAcentral.